RNA transcript from Panicum virgatum (switchgrass), 3795 nucleotides. It is a transcript of the gene named probable amidase At4g34880, with no coding region annotated. The transcript has 5 exons. NCBI's taxonomy places the organism in Eukaryota, Viridiplantae, Streptophyta, Magnoliopsida, Poales, Poaceae. The record is from RefSeq and is a predicted model, not a curated record.
UAUUUGCAGCAACAAUGUACUCGUACAUGCACUGAGAGUGCAGCAGCACUGAGCUACCUGGGCAUAGUAGCAUGGCUCAGCCGCGCCUCCAGGUGCUCGCCGCCGCGGCCCUGGUCCUGGCGCUGGCGGCUGGCGGCCGGCGGCGGCGCCACCGCGUUCGAGUUCGAGGAGGCCACCGUGGACGCCAUCCAGCUGGGCUUCAGGAACGGCAGCCUCACCUCGGCGGCGCUCGUCCGGUUCUACCUGGACCGGAUCGCCCGCCUCAACCAGCAGCUCCGCGCCGUCAUCGAGGUGAACCCGGACGCGCCCGCGCAGGCGGCGCGCGCCGACGCCGAGCGCGCGGCGUCGGGCGGGCGCUGCGCCGCGGGGCUGCACGGCGUCCCCGUCCUGCUCAAGGACAACAUCGCCACGCGCGACCGCCUCAACACCACCGCCGGCUCCCUCGCGCUGCUCGGCUCCGUCGUCCGCCGCGACGCCGGCGUGGCCGCCCGCCUCCGCCGCGCCGGCGCCGUCAUCCUCGGCAAGGCCAACCCCUCCGAGUGGUCCGGCUUCCGACCGGUCGAUCCCGGCUGGAGCGCCCGCGGCGGCCAGACGAAGAAUCCGUACGUGCUGUCGGUGACGCCGUGCGGGUCGAGCGCCGGGCCUGGCGUCGCGGCGGCGGCGAACAUGGCGGCCGUGACGCUGGGAUCGGAGACGGCCGGCUCCAUAAUCUGCCCGUCGGUGCUCAACUCCGUGGUUGGGAUCAAACCAACUGUCGGGCUGGCCAGCCGGUCCGGCGUCAUCCCCAUCACGCCUCGCCAAGACACCAUCGGGCCGAUGUGCCGGACGGUGUCCGAUGCCGUCCAUGUGCUGGACGCCAUUGUCGGCUACGAUGCGCUCGAUGCUGAGGCUACUGGAGCAGCUUCCAAGUACAUCCCGCAUGGGGGUUACAGGCAGUUCCUGAGGAUCGAUGGACUAAGGGGCAAGAGGAUUGGUGUCCUCAAAGGGUUCUUUGAGCAGUAUGAACCUGAGCCCCGGAAGGUCUAUGAGAAGCAUCUCAGCACGAUGAGGCAUCACGGUGCCAUCGUGAUAAAGGAUCUUGACCCCGCAGGGAAUUGGAGCGAUCUCGGGGACCAAAUGGGCCUUCUGAUGAAUGCAGAGUUCAAGUUGAGCCUGAAUGCUUAUCUGAAGGAUCUGCUGUACUCUCCGGUCCGCUCCCUCGCACAAGUCAUAGCAUUCAACAAUGCACAUCCAGUAGAGGAGAGGCUUAAAGAUUUUGGGCAGGCCGAUCUCAUCGCGGCCGAGAAGACCAGCGGCAUCGGCGCAGCGGAGAGGGCUGCGCUCCGGCGGCUCAACGAGCUGUCCACGGUCGGCCUGGAGAAGACGUUUAAAGAGCACCGGCUGGACGCCGUCGUGGUGGUCAACAACGACCUCUCCGCCGUCCUUGCCAUCGGCGGCUAUCCCGGCAUCGCCGUGCCGGCUGGGUACAGCGAGGAGGGAGUCCCCUUUGGGAUAGUCUUCGGCGGGCUCAGGGGCUACGAGCCCAGGCUGAUCGAGAUGGCCUACGCGUUCGAGCAGGCUACCAAAAUCAGAAGGCCGCCGGCUUUCAGGCAUUAGCCUAAAAAUAGCCAGUAGUGGCUUGCCGCAAGAAAUUGGGAAAAUUCCCUGGCCUUAGAAGAAAUGACGCUCUCUUCUAUGGCUCUGAAAAGUUCAGCCUCCUUUUUUGACCAUGUUUUUAUUUUACAUCCCUUCUAUGACCUUGCCGUCACACACGUUAGCCUAUUCCAUUAGGAUUCCUAGUGGAACAAGAGAAAUUGAAUUUUGUAGACCAAAAUACCCCCAGAAGGCUCAUCCACACGCCCCCAACCCUAUCAGCGCCUCCACCCCUGCGCCUCCAGCCCGAGUUCCUCUCCUCCAUCUCGGGACGCGUGGCCUCUGGACUCUGCGGGCGGUGGCAGACGGCGGUGGUCAUGGUGCCCACGACCUGCGCCACGAGGAGGAACGCGAUGGCGGCCACGCCCAGCUAGAAGGUGGAGCUCCUGGGCAGCGAGCUGGACGCCGUGUGCGCGGCGCGCGUGCUGGGCCGCGGCGACAUGGCGUUCCCCGCCGGUGGCAUGGCCGGCAUCGGAGCCAGCGGCACCGCGGGCAAGGCGGACAGGAGGGACUGGGGCGCGCGGCGGCGCAGCGGGAGGCCGCGGGGGACCUCGCCAGCGACGGGCGCAUCUACGGUGCGGCAGCCACGGCGGCGUUCCGGCGGUGGCGGCGCCGAGAGCUGAUGGGAAGGGGGCCAGUGAGAAAGAGGAGGAUGCGGCGGAGCUCACCGAGAGCUCGAAUCGGGCGGACGAAGGCCGGAAGCAGGGGGUCGGCGGCGGGGCUUCUCCGGCCGGCCGGAAAUCAGUCAAUUCCGCCCGGGAAAGGGCUCGGCGACGGUGCCAUCAGCUCGCCUCGGCUUCUGUUCGGUGUACAGAGGGGAAGGGGGAGUCUUCUACAGCCUACGUGCUGCGCGGCGGGGGACGCGUCGCGCGCAACCGGAGGCUGACGGCCGGAACCUGCUCAGCUGGCCCCUGCGGCUGCGGGGCUGCCUGCCGCCCUGCCUGCGGCCCUACGCGAGCUGCGAGCGGCGGCCGACGGCAAGGCACAAGGCGGCGGCAGGGAGCGCCAGAGCGGGGACUCGACGCCGAGGCCGAGGAUGAGGAGGUUGCAGGGCGCGUGGUGGAGAAGAAUGAAGGUAGGGGCAUUUUUGUCUUUUCAUAGCCACUUAAUUGGGAGUUAACUGAAGAUCUCACGGUAGGGCCAUAGAAGGGAUGCAAAAUAAAAACAUGGUCAAGGAAGGGAGGCCGAACUUUUUAGGGUCAUAGAAGGAGUGUCAUUUCUUCUAGGGCCACAUAGGAAAUUUGCCCCAAGAAAUUGCGAUUACUCUUCUGCAUGGUAAUAAGGCAAAAGUGUAUUUUUCAUCCUUUAAGUAUUGCUAAAGUGUGACAUUCAUCCCUCAUGUUUCAUUUGGUGCAAAUCAAUCCCUUAACUAGCUAAAAUGGUGCAUUUAUCAUCCCACUUAGCUUAUUUUAACAAUGGUGUAGUGUCAUGUAAUAUUGGUUUAGGUCAUGUAAUUAUCUCACUAAUCAUGGCCUAGCAACAUCUAAUGGUAAGUCAAUCGCUAUAAUAAUUUGAUGUGAAUCGGUUAAGUUAAUUUUUUGGAUAAAAUUUUUAUGGAGUACCCAAUUUAGAGAAUUUACUGAUUUUUAGGCUUUAGAGCAUCUCCAAGAGUCUUUCUAAAUUUUACUCUCUAAAUUAUCAUUUGGAGAGUCAUGUACAUAAAAAUCGCUCUCUAUACAUCUUUGGCGAGCGAGGAAUCCGGAAUAGACGAUUAGGAUGAAUAUAAAGAGUCUCUUGGAGUUGCUCUUAUAUCUUCAACUCAGCAUAUUACAUUGCUAAGUGGAGAUUAGUCAAAUGAUAGUGUGGCAUAAACUACCAUUAGAUUGUACUAAACCAUUCUUAAACUAAGGUGGGGAUGAUAAAUGCACCAGUUUAGUUAGUUAAGGGGUUGAUUUGCACCAAAUGAAAUAUGAGGGAUGAAUGCCACACUUUUGUAAUACUUCAAGAAUGAAAAAUACACUUUUUCCUGGUAAUAAUGGGCCGCAUUCUGAAGGUGAAAACCUUGUGUGAUCUGCUCUGUUUACAGCGGCUACAUCCUGAUUCUCAUAGUCCUUUUCAGUCAGAGCUGAAUAUUGUUAUUGUGAAUUUCAUGUUUGUGGUCAUGACUGAUGAGCUAUGGAACGUUCUGGGGACAUUCGGAAUUGCGAUUACGGGUUUUGUGAA